GUCUCUUCGGAGGCAUCCGAUAAAUUUAAAACUAUACAGAAGAAUAGCAUGGCCCCUACACAAGAAUGACACGCAUAAAUCGAAAAAUGGUUCAAUUUAAA
Small nuclear RNA from Dendrobium catenatum, 101 nucleotides. Lineage: Eukaryota; Viridiplantae; Streptophyta; Magnoliopsida; Asparagales; Orchidaceae. The record is from RefSeq and is a predicted model, not a curated record.